UACGAAGGGGGCUAGCGUUGCUCGGAAUCACUGGGCGUAAAGGGUGCGUAGGCGGGUCUUUAAGUCAGGGGUGAAAUCCUGGAGCUCAACUCCAGAACUGCCUUUGAUACUGAGGAUCUUGAGUUCGGGAGAGGUGAGUGGAACUGCGAGUGUAGAGGUGAAAUUCGUAGAUAUUCGCAAGAACACCAGUGGCGAAGGCGGCUCACUGGCCCGGUACUGACGCUGAGGAGCGAAAGCGUGGGGAGCAAACAGG
This 253-nucleotide ribosomal RNA is filed under the name uncultured bacterium. RNAcentral's name for it is "partial 16S ribosomal RNA". It matches the Rfam family "Bacterial small subunit ribosomal RNA", at positions 524 to 776 of the family's 1533-position model. The record is from RNAcentral.